UAACAGAAGAAUCUUGUCUGCUUUGGACAU
Molecule: non-coding RNA, 30 nt
Filed under: Mus musculus (house mouse)
Lineage: Eukaryota; Metazoa; Chordata; Mammalia; Rodentia; Muridae
Source: RNAcentral